AACAGAAUACGCGAAAUCGACAAAAGCUCGAUUUCUGACAGAAUUCAAGUGGCACAUCGAACAAAUACUUCAGAAUAUCAAUUAUGCUCCAAUACCCAUAAUAAAACUACUGUUGAAAGAUAUAUCAAUCUGUUUUCUGAUGAAAUAAGUUUCAUACGAAUCAAGGUUUCCAACAAGGAGUUACCAUGGAUUUAGUGACCAAAGGUCAAAGACUGAAUCACUGUUUUGCAGAAUUUAUAGGGC
RNAcentral lists this long non-coding RNA (243 nucleotides) under Musa acuminata (dwarf banana). RNAcentral's name for it is "long non-coding RNA (MACU_LNC002701)". Lineage: Eukaryota; Viridiplantae; Streptophyta; Magnoliopsida; Zingiberales; Musaceae. The record is from RNAcentral.